AUGGAAAUUUGCAAAGAGAAAAUAAAUUUUCUUGGUUAUGAAAUAGGAGAAGGAAAGAUAUAUCUACAAGAACAUAUUGCAAAGAAAAUAUUAGAGUUUCCUGAUAAUAUGAGUGAUAAAAAGGUUCUACAACAGUUCUUAGGAAUUGUAAACUAUGCGCGAAACUAUAUAGAUAACUUAGCAAAGCUAGCAGGACCUUUAUAUGCUAAAUUAAGAAAAAAUGGUCAAAGAUACUUCAAUUCUGAAGAUAUAAAAUUAGUAAAGGCCAUCAAGGAAAAGUUCAAGAAUUUAAAACCCCUAGAAUUGCCUCUAGAAGACAAUUAUUUUAUAAUUGAGACAGAUGCAUCUAAGGUAGGAUGGGGUGCGAUACUCAAACAAAAACCCAAUAAAUACUCUCCAAAAGCAGAUGAAAAAAUAUCCAGAUAUGCUUCAGGAAGUUACAAACUAAAGACGGCAAAUAAUAUUGAUAGAGAAAUCCUGGCAGUUGUAAAUGCAAUAAAUGCAUUUAGGCUAUAUCUAGGAUUUAAAGAGUUUACAGUGCGAACGGAUUGUGAAGCCAUAUGUCGAUAUUACAAUAAAAUUAAUAGUAAGAAAAGCUCAACCAGAAGAUGGGUCUUAUUUGAGGAUACCAUAGCUGGGAGUGGAUAUAAAGUCAUUUUUGAGCAUAUUAAGGGGAAGGAUAAUACCCUACCUGACAUAUUUUCUCAUGCAACAAAUUUGCAGGAAUGA
RNAcentral lists this ribosomal RNA (729 nucleotides) under Triticum aestivum (bread wheat). RNAcentral describes it as "partial small subunit ribosomal RNA". Lineage: Eukaryota; Viridiplantae; Streptophyta; Magnoliopsida; Poales; Poaceae. The record is from RNAcentral.